Molecule: non-coding RNA, 800 nt
Organism: Lates calcarifer (barramundi perch)
Lineage: Eukaryota; Metazoa; Chordata; Actinopteri; Centropomidae
Source: the annotation of a RefSeq genome assembly
AUAUGCAAAUAAAGGUUCUUCAGAAGUAGAUGAAGUGUGUGUGUGUCAGUGAGAGGACAGAAGAGCUCACGUCAGUUCAGCUUCAACAUCAACCAUGUUCUCUGUAGCUCUGAUACUGCUGCUGGCAGCUGGAUCAUGUGUGAAGUGUGAACAGUUGACACAGCCAGCCUCUGUGACUGUGCAGCCAGGUCAACGUCUGACCAUCACCUGUCAGGUCUCUUAUUCGCUUAGCAGCUACUACACAGCUUGGAUCAGACAGCCUGCAGGGAAAGAACUGGAGUGGAUGAGUGAUGACUCAAGCGUCAAAGAUUCACUAAAGAACAAGUUUAGUGUCGACUUAGACUCUUCCAGCAAAACAGUGACUCUCAAUGGACAGAACAUGCAGCCUGAAGACACUGCUGUGUAUUACUGUGCCAGACACACAACAACACAAACCAUCUGUAGACCUGAACAAAAACCCCUCAGUGCCUGAACACUUGUAACAUGAAGCCACCAGAGGAGGAGCCCUCAGACCACUAAUGAUUUCACACCAGUUCACUGUUACAGUAAAGGGGGAAACAGUUUUCUUUGCAUCUCUCUAUUUUCCCUGCAUUGGCUCACAAUAAUUUGUGCUUUUCCAGAAUGAUAAUUGACUAGAGCACAGACUCAACUAGCAAUAUAUGAUCUGUCAAAAGGCCUCAAUCUGACAAAAGUUAGUUUGUGUGCAGUGACUGUGAGUUUUGAAUGAGAGUUUAUCUAAUCACAGCAGCAUUAAUAUGAUUUAAUUAACACUCAUUCAGUGAAUUACAGAAUUGUAUUAA